AACCCAACCUGGGUAAUCAGGUAAUUUUCCCUUUUCUUGUUAGUUCAUUUUUCAUACCCUCUCCUCGAUUUCACACCUGGAGAGAGUUCACCUCUCAAAUAGAGCACCGCCUCUGAGAUAUACGAGGAGUACGAAAAUUACAAUCGAAGAAGCAUAGAAGAAUUCAAGCUUUUGAAAUCUACUGAAUCAACCAAGUAAUCGCCCAACCAUGGCUGAAGAAGCAGGUAUGUUUCGAGUACAUCAAACUAUUGGAAGUGUUCUUUGUUGCAAGUGUGGCAUCCCGAUGUCACCAAAUGCUGCAAAUAUGUGUGUGAAGUGUUUGCGUUCUGAAGUUGACAUUACAGAGGAUCUACAGAAGCAUGUGAUCAUAAUGCAUUGCCCUGAGUGUGAUAAGUACUUGCAGCCUCCAAGAACUUGGAUAAAGGCCCUGCUGGAGUCUAAGGAACUCUUAACAUUUUGUGUGAAGAGGUUGAAGAACUUGAACAAGGUUAGGUUGGUACAUGCAGAAUUUGUUUGGACUGAACCUCACUCCAAAAGGAUCAAGGUGAGGCUGAGGGUUCAGAAGGAGGUCCUUAAUGGGGCAAUACUUGAACAAGCCUAUGUCGUUGAGUAUGUUCAGCAAGACCACAUGUGCGAGUCGUGUUCAAGGGCUCAGGCCAACCCUGACCAGUGGGUAGCUGCUGUCCAACUCAGGCAGCAUGUUUCUCAUAGGAGGACUUUCUUCUAUUUGGAGCAGGUUAUACUUCGGCAUGAUGCUGCUGCUUCUUGCAUAAAAAUUACACAGAUGGAUCAGGGAAUUGACUUCUUUUUUGCUAAUCGGAGCCAUGCUGUAAAAUUCGUAGAAUUCUUGGGGAAAGUUGCCCCUGUCAGGAGCCGAAACGAUAAACAACUUGUUUCCCAUGAUUCUAAGAGCAACAACUACAACUAUAAAUACACAUUCUCCGUUGAAAUCUGCCCAAUUUGUAGGGAGGAUCUGAUCUGUCUUCCACCAAAAGUAGCUACUAGUUUGGGAAAUUUGGGUCCACUCGUCUUGUGUGCAAAGGUGAGCAACAGCUUGGCUUUACUGGAUCCAUUUACUCUUAGGCAUUGUUUCAUGGAUGCAGACCAGUAUUGGAGGGCCUCCUUUGCAUCUCUACUUUCAAGUAGGCAGUUUGUGGAAUAUAUAGUAUUGGAUGUGGAGCUUGUGGCAUCUGAAGUCAAUGUUGGAGGCUCAAGAUAUGCUUUAGCUGAUGCACAAGUGGCACGUGUAUCUGAUUUUGGGAAAAAUGACAAGAUUUUCAAUAUAAGAACCCACCUUGGCCAUAUCUUGAACCCUGGGGAUUAUGCUCUUGGCUAUGACCUCUAUGGGGCUAACACUAAUGAUAUUCAACUGGACAAAUAUAAAGGUCUUAUUCUCCCAGAAGCUAUUCUAAUAAAGAAGAGCUAUGAAGAGAAGCGUCAAAAGCGGCGUGGGAAGCCUCGUCAUUGGAAGCUUAACUCCCUCAAUAUGGAUGUAGACACCUCCACCAGAGGUAAAAUUGAUGAGGAUAAGAUGAAUAAAGAGUAUGAAGAGUUCUUGAAAGAUUUGGAGGAGAACCCAGAGUUGAGGUUUAAUAUAUCAUUGUACCGUAAUAAGGAGUACCAACCUUCAGAAAUGGCAUCGGUGACUGAUGGGGAGGAUAUACCUUCUGUGCCUCUGGAGGAAUUGCUUGCUGAUCUUGAUCUAGAUGAUGACGAAGAUGUCAACGACAGCAUGAGGGAGUGAUUUGAUGCUUUCUUUUUCAGAUGGGUUCCAUUAGAUUUUUUAGGUCAAUAUUAUCUGUGUGUGCAUCAUGUUGGUUUUCUAUCCUCGGGCCAGCUACUCCGUAUUUGAUUGACAAGUGAUAAUUAGUAUUUUGGAUGAAGCCUGCUUUUCAAUGCUUUAUCAUGGAACCUGGCAGAUCUUUUAGAUCUUGAGCAAACUUGGUUUAUCAUUUGGUUAUUGGAGUAGCUAGGUGUGAAUGGUAGUGAGUUUGAGAAGCUUCCAAGGGUUUAUUUGGUUCUCUGCUGUAAGGAAUUCUGAAUAUUGAAUAUUGAAUAUAUAUAUAUAUAUAUAUAUAUAUGCAUGAGAGAGCAGGGAAUGAAUCCUGUUAUUGGGAUUCCAUUUAGCAGCAUAAAUAAAAUCAAAGGAAGUGUUGGAAUUUAUUUUUUGUUA
Molecule: RNA transcript, 2173 nt
Organism: Macadamia integrifolia
Lineage: Eukaryota; Viridiplantae; Streptophyta; Magnoliopsida; Proteales; Proteaceae
Gene name: 60S ribosomal export protein NMD3-like
Exons: 5
Source: RefSeq, a predicted model, not a curated record